Molecule: long non-coding RNA, 343 nt
Organism: Mesocricetus auratus (golden hamster)
Lineage: Eukaryota; Metazoa; Chordata; Mammalia; Rodentia; Cricetidae
Exons: 3
Source: RefSeq, a predicted model, not a curated record
GAAAAGCUCAUUGGGCAGCGGGUGGAACUCAAGAGAACUGACACUUAAAAGGCAUCAUUUGGGGGCUGCUCUUAGGGUAUUUGGGACCUACAGAGGGAAUCCUGACUUUGACGCAGGCUGUUCUGCAGAUGGACAGAGACCAGGAGAUCAAUAUAUGACUCAGAACUGCACGUGAGGCCUGGAGAAUCCACUGCUCAAUGGACAUCAGAAGAGAGCAGUUGACGCGAGAUUUAGCAAGGUGGACGUCGCCAUUGAUGCUGACAAGAGGAACACGAUCCCAGUACCAUAUGCAGCUCUGUUCACUUGAGAUCUCUUCUCCCUGCAAGAACGUGGGUGUCCUCUC